Molecule: transfer-messenger RNA, 385 nt
Filed under: Oculatellaceae cyanobacterium Prado106
Lineage: Bacteria; Bacillati; Cyanobacteriota; Cyanophyceae; Oculatellales; Oculatellaceae
Rfam family: transfer-messenger RNA
About the family: Bacterial tmRNA, also known as 10Sa RNA or SsrA, is named for its dual tRNA and mRNA-like properties.
Source: RNAcentral
GGGGCUGUCACGGUUUCGACGUUUUGGCGAACGCUACUUUGUGAUACAGGUCGAGAGCGAGCUAACUCUCGUAAAUCAAUGGCUCAACAUGAGUACAUGCGAACAACAUCGUACCCUUUGCUCGUAAAGCAGCUGCGGUUGCCUAAACACCUCUUAUAGGUUCGAGCGUCUACUGUUUGACUCCGUUAAGGACGGUAGACCAACCCCCAACGGACGCUCAAGUCGGCUGCCUCGGGUCAACGACUUGCUAAGACUUUACUCGAGAAUCCCACCGUCUGGGAUAAGAGACGGUUCCCGCUCUGAGGAUCAGAAGGGCUAAACCUGUGAAUGAGUGAGGUACUAAUAACCAGGGCGGACACGGGUUCGACUCCCGUCAGCUCCAUUC